RNAcentral lists this ribosomal RNA (473 nucleotides) under Aleiodes gracilipes. Its description in RNAcentral is "eukaryotic LSU rRNA". The record is from RNAcentral. Lineage: Eukaryota; Metazoa; Arthropoda; Insecta; Hymenoptera; Braconidae.
CCCCCGCCUGGAAACCCAAAAGAUCGAAUGGGGAGAUUCAUCGUCAGCUCAUUUUGUAUAUGUAUAAGUUAUGAUGCGGGUUACUACUUGUAGUAUUGCCUGCACAUUCUUGUAUAUUUAGUUGCAAGAUGUUGUCGGCGUGCACUUCUCCCCUAGUAGGACGUCGCGACCUGUUGGGUGUCGGUCUACGGCCCAAGUGAUAGUCUUUAAUGUAAUUUAAAAAACAUUGAAGAUCCUUGGUGUUUUCUGCGGCGGUACUUGGCAGUAUUCGUACGGUAUUUAGCCGCUAAAUUUAUUAAGCGUCCAUAUCUGUCACAAGCGAGGCUAAUUUACUGAUAGUACGGACCUAGUGCCGUCGUCGGUAUUGGCCAGCUGUUGGUUGAUGGUAUUCUAGGACUGGCUAAAAUUAAUUACCGGUCGGCGACGCUACUGCUUUGGGUACUUUCAGGACCCGUCUUGAAACACGGACCAAA